This 418-nucleotide ribosomal RNA is filed under the name uncultured delta proteobacterium. RNAcentral's name for it is "bacterial SSU rRNA". It matches the Rfam family "Bacterial small subunit ribosomal RNA", at positions 9 to 416 of the family's 1533-position model. The record is from RNAcentral. Lineage: Bacteria; Deltaproteobacteria.
GAGUUUGAUCAUGGCUCAGAGCGAACGCUGGCGGCGUGCCUAACACAUGCAAGUCGAACGUGAACGGCUUCGGCCUAGUAAAGUGGCGUACGGGUGAGUAACGCGUAGGUAAUCUACCCCAAAAUCUGGAAUAACCGGCCGAAAGGCUGGCUAAUACUGGAUAGAGCGACGGAACUCGUAAUCGGGUUUUUCGGGAAAGGGAGCCGGCAACGGCCCUCGUUUUGGGAUGAGCCUGCGUCUCAUUAGCUAGUUGGUAAGGUAAUGGCUUACCAAGGCUUUGAUGGGUAGCUGGUCUGAGAGGAUGAUCAGCCACACUGGAACUGAAACACGGUCCAGACUCCUACGGGAGGCAGCAGUGGGGAAUCUUGCGCAAUGGACGAAAGUCUGACGCAGCCACGCCGCGUGAGUGAAGAAGGCC